RNAcentral lists this ribosomal RNA (253 nucleotides) under uncultured bacterium. RNAcentral describes it as "partial 16S ribosomal RNA". It matches the Rfam family "Bacterial small subunit ribosomal RNA", at positions 524 to 776 of the family's 1533-position model. The record is from RNAcentral.
UACGAAGGGGGCGAGCGUUGUUCGGAUUUACUGGGCGUAAAGGGCGCGCAGGCGGCUAUCCAAGUCAGGCGUGAAAGCCCCGGGCUUAACCUGGGAGGUGCGUCUGGGACUGGGUGGCUAGAGUUCGGGAGAGGAGAGUGGAAUUCCCAGUGUAGCGGUGGAAUGCGCAGAUAUCAGGAGGAACACCGGUGGCGAAGGCGGGUCUCUGGGCAGUAACUGACGCUGAGGAGCGAAAGCGUGGGGAGCGAACAGG